UACAGAGGGGGCAAGCGUUGUUCGGAAUUACUGGGCGUAAAGGGCGCGUAGGCGGCCUGCUAAGUCGAACGUGAAAUCCCUGGGCUCAACCCAGGAACUGCGUCCGAUACUGGUUGGCUUGAAUCCGGGAGAGGGAUGUGGAAUUCCAGGUGUAGCGGUGAAAUGCGUAGAUAUCGAGAGGAACACCUGCGGCGAAGGCGGGUUGCUGGGCUGAUACUGACGCUGAGGCGCGAAAGCCAGGGGAGCGAACGGG
RNAcentral lists this ribosomal RNA (253 nucleotides) under uncultured bacterium. Its description in RNAcentral is "partial 16S ribosomal RNA". It matches the Rfam family "Bacterial small subunit ribosomal RNA", at positions 524 to 776 of the family's 1533-position model. The record is from RNAcentral.